GCCCAAUUUCGAAAAAAAAGAAAAGAAGAAGAGGAGAAACGAGCAAAAGAUAAAGGGGCACUUCUAAAAUAUUUUGGAGCAUCCUCUGCCACUGGUCAGGAUGAGCCAACCACCUCCUCCGCUACACAUAUGUAUCCACAAAUAUCUGAUAUUGAGGAUGAAGACCUCUUUGCCUCUACUUCUACCCAGCAUGAGCUUUCAGAAAUGCCUGGAGCUGAACCCCCACUGAGCCCCACUGGCCCUCACAUCUGACUGACAGGAUUCGGACUGAGCUGGUUCACAGAGGACCAAGUAAAGUGCCACCUGGCUUUGUUUUCCGUAGGAAUGAGAGUAAUGGGAGAAGUUACCACCACUAAUAUUUUAAGAAGACAUUAGUAAGUGGUGAAAAGAUGGCAAGAAGUUGGCUGAUUUAUUCAAUUAAGAACAACAGCCUCUUUUG
Long non-coding RNA from Carassius auratus (goldfish), 439 nucleotides. RefSeq lists it as uncharacterized. The transcript is spliced from 3 exons. NCBI's taxonomy places the organism in Eukaryota, Metazoa, Chordata, Actinopteri, Cypriniformes, Cyprinidae. The record is from RefSeq and is a predicted model, not a curated record.